UUUUUUUAAUAAAUUCUACUACAUUAGAUCCUUUAUCAGCCUUCUUUGGUUUUAAUCACACUUCUGGGCAGGAAUCCUCUCCCCAUCUUUCUCUUUGACACACAUGCAACCACAUGCUUUCAUACCCAUAAAUGUCUAUGUGUUACUUUUUGACCUCUUGCAAUUUUUAUAUUUUCAGGGGGAAGGCUGGAAGAAAUAGAGUGCAGGAUCUAAAGAAAAGAUAGCUCAAUUACAGCUGUUCUUUUUUUCCAUCUCUUAUUUCCAGAGAGAGCAAUCUAUUUCAAAAAUUGACUAGGGAAGAUGUUUCCAUCCAUAGGAAAGACAUUGCAAUGGACACCUGGAAAUUUGAAAAUGUACUUUGACUUCAGAUUUUGAACAUUCAGCCCAACUUCAAAACAUUAGGGCUCAAAACCGUUAUUCACUGUGUGCUGACUGACCUCUCCCAUUCCCAGGCUCAACAACUUAUUCUAGUGCUUUGGUUUGUGUUAAUUCCCCAUCUAAAUAUUUCAGCAAGGAAGAACACCGGGGAGAUCAAUGAGAUUUUCCAAAAAAUUGGGAAUAGCAAAUAUUUUCUGGUAGCUCCUCCCAUCAAACACCCUGCUGUGCAACUGGGAAUGCUUCAUCCUCAUUUCUUCUGCCAAUAAGCUGCACCCGGAGGUAUGCAGAUCAAUACUAUUGCUUGAUGUACAUGAAAAGGUGAAUAAAUCAAGAGAAACAUGAAGCAAACAGGAAAGGAAUAUCUCUUUUCCUAGGAACAUUGUGAUGUGUGUUUCUUAUCCCAGCAAAGUCAGAGUAGAUCUCUUAUGUCUUGUGUUAAGAAGAAGGAUGCAUGAAGUUCUAUGUGGAGAUUUUUCCAAGGUGACUUGCAGUUUUGGGAGGUUUGUAAGUUCCAGCUCACAGAAUGAUAGGUGUACAUGAAGUACACGGGCACUGUUGCCUGUCUUUGCACCGAUAGUACAGUCACAGGAUGUCAGUGAAACGUCUGUCACAGUAAUACAGAAGGGCAAAAAUUUCUGUCAACAAACUACUGGCAUCUGUCAUUUUUCUUAAAAAAAAUAAUCUGUAGACUGUUAUUUGCUAUAGCAACUAACUAUUGUACUAAAGAACAUAAAACAGUUGAACAAAGAGGAUUUCUUCUGGGGAAGGCUAAGUUUUCUGUUCCUUCUGACAAGUCUGUUUGAAUAUUUGCCUGUUAUCUAUCGUCACUUCAAC
Molecule: long non-coding RNA, 1212 nt
Filed under: Numida meleagris (helmeted guineafowl)
Lineage: Eukaryota; Metazoa; Chordata; Aves; Galliformes; Numididae
Description: lncRNA (ENSNMEG00000015215.1)
Source: RNAcentral